Leptinotarsa decemlineata (Colorado potato beetle) is the source of this 418-nucleotide long non-coding RNA. RefSeq lists it as uncharacterized. The record is from RefSeq and is a predicted model, not a curated record. NCBI's taxonomy places the organism in Eukaryota, Metazoa, Arthropoda, Insecta, Coleoptera, Chrysomelidae.
GUAAAAUUUGAAAUUUAUUUGAAAAAUAGAGUACCUAUUGAAAGAAAUUAUAAACUCUUUUGACCAUUUCUGCCAAAAUAGUUGCUGCAACUGUUGAAGCUUCUGGAAUCUUCCCAGGAGUAUCAGUAAGGAAAGGAUCAGGUCACGAAAAAUCAGAUUGCUCCCUCUUGUAUAGGCACCUUAAGUGAUUUAUGGUAGAUUAGUGGAAAAAAUCAGGACAUCCCUAAUGGAUUAUUUAUUGUGAUAGCUGAAGUAAAGAUCAAAUCGUCACAAUAGAACAUUAAUGACUUCUCUUCAUAACUAAAAUCCCUGAUACAAAGGUUAACAUAAGAAAUAUGUUACUGUAUAACUUAUUUUUUUAACUACUCCAUUGACCAUACAUUUUAUUUAUUCAAUAAUAGUCUUGGAAGGCAGUCAA